This 253-nucleotide ribosomal RNA is filed under the name uncultured bacterium. RNAcentral describes it as "partial 16S ribosomal RNA". It matches the Rfam family "Bacterial small subunit ribosomal RNA", at positions 524 to 776 of the family's 1533-position model. The record is from RNAcentral.
UACGAAGGGGGCUAGCGUUGCUCGGAAUCACUGGGCGUAAAGCGCACGUAGGCGGAUCGUUAAGUCAGGGGUGAAAUCCUGGAGCUCAACUCCAGAACUGCCUUUGAUACUGGCGACCUUGAGUUCGGGAGAGGUGAGUGGAACUGCGAGUGUAGAGGUGAAAUUUGUAGAUAUUCGCAAGAACACCAGUGGCGAAGGCGGCUCACUGGCCCGAUACUGACGCUGAGGUGCGAAAGCGUGGGGAGCAAACAGG